AUGCUAGUGAUGUAGACAAUUUCUAAGAAGAUACUUGAAUCUCUCUCAUGCAUGAUACACAUUCUCAUCUGGCUUUUGUUUGAAACUCAAGAUCUUACUCAUCACCUU
Molecule: non-coding RNA, 108 nt
Organism: Capsicum annuum
Lineage: Eukaryota; Viridiplantae; Streptophyta; Magnoliopsida; Solanales; Solanaceae
Source: Rfam